Long non-coding RNA from Apis florea (little honeybee), 232 nucleotides. Lineage: Eukaryota; Metazoa; Arthropoda; Insecta; Hymenoptera; Apidae. The record is from RefSeq and is a predicted model, not a curated record.
CAACAGCAAAGGAAAAUAAUAGUAGUCGUAUUACGUGAAGAGAGAAAGACAGUUUGGUGAUAUACAUAUGUAAAAAAGAUAGAGCGACGGACAAAUUGAACAAUACACAACAAGGGCCCCCAGGGGCGUAGCAGCAGAGAGCAAGGGGGUAUUGUUUUUUUUUUUUAUGAGGAUGGUUAGUUUUCAUCGCGUAAGCUUCCAUGGUUAAGAGAGUGUUAGAGAGAAACAAAGA